Molecule: transfer RNA, 72 nt
Filed under: Candidatus Parcubacteria bacterium
Lineage: Bacteria; Candidatus Parcubacteria
Description: tRNA-Ile
Rfam family: tRNA
About the family: Transfer RNA (tRNA) molecules are approximately 80 nucleotides in length. Their secondary structure includes four short double-helical elements and three loops (D, anti-codon, and T loops).
Source: RNAcentral
GGGCGCGUAGCUCAGCGGUAGAGCAGCCGUCUUAUACACGGCCGGUCGUAGGUUCGAUCCCUACCGCGCCCA